RNAcentral lists this ribosomal RNA (256 nucleotides) under uncultured bacterium. Its description in RNAcentral is "partial 16S ribosomal RNA". It matches the Rfam family "Bacterial small subunit ribosomal RNA", at positions 524 to 776 of the family's 1533-position model. The record is from RNAcentral.
UACGUAGGGUGCGAGCGUUAAUCGGAAUUACUGGGCGUAAAGCGUGCGCAGGCGGCGCGUUAAGACAGGUGUGAAAGCCCCCGAGCUUAACUUGGGAAUUGCGCUUGUGACUGGCGUGCUGGAGUGUGGCAGAGGGAGGUGGAAUUCCACGUGUAGCAGUGAAAUGCGUAGAGAUGAUGGAGGAACACCGAUGGCGAAGGACAGCCUCCUGGGCCAGCACUGACGCUCAUGCACGAAAGCGUGGGGAGCAAACAGG